This 633-nucleotide long non-coding RNA is filed under the name Heterocephalus glaber (naked mole-rat). RNAcentral's name for it is "lncRNA (ENSHGLG00100052542.1)". The record is from RNAcentral. Lineage: Eukaryota; Metazoa; Chordata; Mammalia; Rodentia; Bathyergidae.
GCUGGGUUCUCUUCUGUCUGGCCGCAACCCCAAAGCCCAGGACGACCUGCCUGGGUCUCAGGAGGGGUUGUGCCCUAGGCCUACAGUUUUCCUUUGCUCUGCGGGUGGAGAAUGCGGGGUGGAGGUUGGAGACAGGGCUCCAAGAGCCCCAGGGAAGUGUCAGGAAGAGGCGCACGGGCUGAGGAAGGCGUCCUAGCUCUUGCAGCCAAACACCUGGCCCGCUGCAGAAAGACCCCCAGCGCUCUACUCAGCUACCCCAGAAACUUUCUAAAGACGGGGUGUCCAGCCUGAAAGAUCCCCCAAGGCUUUGCUUAGCUACACUGCUCCACAGCUCGCAGGGCAGCCCUGCGUGGUCAGAAGCCGGGGCUCUCGACGGGGUAGCCGUGUAGUGAGAUAUUAGAAGGAACGACUAAUAAACUGCUUUCACUGAACAAAAUUGCCAAAAGCAGUUGAUCAAGGAGGAGUGAUCACAAAAUACAGUGAAUGCUUAAAUGAAAACUUCAUUACAACAUGCAAAUGGAUAUUCCACAUCCAGGAACAAAUUGGCCAACUGCAUAUACCAGGCAAAAUCCACCAGCAACACCACAAGGUAAAAUAUGUGAUUGAGGAAGCAAAGUGAUAGUAAUCAAUGCG